CACAUUUGAUUCUGUGUGUGUGUGAGUGUGUGUACAUGAACAUUUUAUUCUGUGCCUGUGUGUGUGUGCAGCUCUCCCUCUUCAGUCAUUGUGUUGGGUUCUGUGCAGCGAGGAUACAGAGAGAGAUCUGUUUUGUUUUCGGCGGUGGUGGCGGUCACUCUCAGAGCACAGAACCCAGCCCCUCAUUCAGGCAGGUAGUAGAAGCACACUGACACACAGAUGUUGCUGGGAAAGCAGAUGUCUAUACAGAAGUAAAUGAGCCGUUGUUUCCCUGGACCUGUGGACAGAGGGUGUGGAUCUCAGUUCACUCUCAUCUAAUUACAACUUGUUGUAUACAGCAGCCCGAGAAAAGGACAUGCCGCCAAAAGGUCCAGGGAUUAUGUUUCAGUUCCAAGUCUGCUUGGAACCAGUGACACAACACGGAUCUCCAGUUCCAGGCUUAGUUUUUGAAGUCUAAGCUCUUUCUUAUUAAAUUUGAGUGGUAUUGUGUAAAAUUGAAUUGGUUCCAGAACAAAAGUUGAGAGUUUUGACAUUUGAACAUGCCUUUGGUUUUAAAAUAUAGUGCAAAUUUGUUCUUCCACUGAUGUUGAUUUGAAGCAGUUCUGCUGUAGAUAUCCCAAUAUGUUCUUCAAUUGCUGUAUGUUAUGAAUGAAAAAAAUAUAGAAGUAGCUGAUCUACUGUAGUAAAUGUUAGUCAAGAAACAAUUAA
This is a long non-coding RNA of Alosa sapidissima (American shad), 708 nucleotides long. RefSeq lists it as uncharacterized. NCBI's taxonomy places the organism in Eukaryota, Metazoa, Chordata, Actinopteri, Clupeiformes, Clupeidae. The record is from RefSeq and is a predicted model, not a curated record. The transcript is spliced from 2 exons.